CGCUUACGGGGCGCAGCAGUGGGGAAUAUUGCACAAUGGGCGAAAGCCUGAUGCAGCAACGCCGCGUGAAGGAAGACGGUUUUCGGAUUGUAAACUUCUAUCAAUAGGGAAGAAAGAAAUGACGGUACCUAAAUAAGAAGCCCCGGCUAACUACGUGCCAGCAGCCGCGGUAAUACGUGGGGGGCAAGCGUUAUCCGGAAUUACUGGGUGUAAAGGGAGAGUAGGCGGCAAGGUAAGCGAUAUGUGAAAGCCUUAAGCUUAACUUAAGGAUUGCAUAACGAACUAUCGAGCUAGCGUACAGGAGG
Molecule: ribosomal RNA, 305 nt
Filed under: uncultured bacterium
Lineage: Bacteria
Description: bacterial SSU rRNA
Rfam family: Bacterial small subunit ribosomal RNA
Source: RNAcentral